CAGUGGGGAAUAUUGGACAAUGGGCGAAAGCUUGAUCCAGCAAUAUCGCGUGAGUGAUGAAGCCUAUUUUUGGUGUAAAGCUCUUUUAGUAAGGAAGAUAAUGACUGUACUUACAUAAAAAGUUCCGGCUAACUCUGUGCCAGCAGCCGCGGUAAUACAGGGGGAACUAGUAUUAUUCGGAAUGAUUGGGCGUAAAGGGCAUGUAGGCUGUUAAUAACGUUGAAAGUAAAAGACCAUAAUUAUUAUUUUGGAAUAACUUUCAAAACGAAUUAACUUGAGUUCGAUAGAGGAUAGUGGUAUUUCUAGUGUAAAGAUAAAAUUUGCAAAUAUUAGAAGGAACACCUUUUGGCGAAAGCAGCUAUCUGGCUCGUUUACUGACGCUGAUAUGCUAAAGCAUGGGUAUCAAACGGGAUUAGA
Molecule: ribosomal RNA, 417 nt
Filed under: uncultured bacterium
Lineage: Bacteria
Description: bacterial SSU rRNA
Rfam family: Bacterial small subunit ribosomal RNA
Source: RNAcentral